GAAAUGCGGAGUAAAGCUUGCCGUGAGAAGUCAGCAGAGGCCAUAGUACCGGAAACAAAGCCGGGAAGGGC
This 71-nucleotide non-coding RNA is filed under the name human gut metagenome. The record is from RNAcentral.